GAUCCUGGCUCAGGAUGAACGCUAGCGGCAGGCCUAACACAUGCAAGUCGAGGGGUAAGGCUCUUUCGGGAGUACACGACCGGCGCACGGGUGAGUAUCGCGUUUGCAAUCUACCUCUAACUGGGGCAUAGCCCGGAGAAAUUCGGAUUAAUACCCCAUAAUGUCAUGAGAUCGCAUGAUUUUAUGAUUAAAGCUUUGGCGGUUAAAGAUGGGCAUGCGUGACAUUAGCUUGUUGGUGAGGUAACGGCUCACCAAGGCAACGAUGUCUAGGGGGUCUUAAAGGAUGAUCCCCCACACUGGUACUGAGACACGGACCAGACUCCUACGGGAGGCAGCAGUGAGGAAUAUUGGUCAAUGGGCGCAAGCCUGAACCAGCCAUCCCGCGUGCAGGAUGACAGCCCUAUGGGUCGUAAACUGCUUUUAUAUAGGAAGAAAUCCUUGUACGUGUACGAGGUUGACGGUACUAUAUGAAUAAGCAUCGGCUAACUCCGUGCCAGCAGCCGCGGUAAUACGGAGGAUGCAAGCGUUAUCCGGAUUCAUUAGGUUUAAAGGGUGUGUAGGCGGAAUAUUAAGUCAGUGGUGAAAUCCUGCAGCUUAACUGUAGCACUGCCAUUGAAACUGAUAUUCUUGAGUAUAGUUGAGGUAGGCGGAAUGUGUAAUGUAGCGGUGAAAUGCUUAGAUAUUACACAGAACACCGAUUGCGAAGGCAGCUCACUAAACUAACAUUGACGCUGAGGCACGAAAGCGUGGGUAGCGAACAGGAUUAGAUACCCUGGUAGUCCACGCCGUAAACGAUGAUCACUCGCUGUUGGCAAUACAUCGUCAGCGGCUGAGCGAAAGCAUUAAGUGAUCCACCUGGGGAGUACGGUCGCAAGAUUGAAACUCAAAGGAAUUGACGGGGGCCCGCACAAGCGGAGGAGCAUGUGGUUUAAUUCGAUCAUACGCGAGGAACCUUACCUGGGCUUAAAUGUAGAGUGCAUAAACGGGAAACUGUUUUCCCUCGGGACUCUUUACAAGGUGCUGCAUGGUUGUCGUCAGCUCGUGCCGUGAGGUGUCGGGUUAAGUCCCAUAACGAGCGCAACCCCUAUCGUUAGUUGCCAGCGAGUCAAGUCGGGGACUCUAACGAGACUGCCGGUGUAAACCGCGAGGAAGGUGGGGAUGACGUCAAAUCAGCACGGCCCUUAUGUCCAGGGCUACACACGUGUUACAAUGGCCGAUACAAAGGGCAGCUACCAGGUGACUGGAUGCUAAUCUCGAAAGUCGGUCUUAGUUCGGAUCGAAGUCUGCAACUCGACUUCGUGAAGCUGGAUUCGCUAGUAAUCGUAGAUCAGCAACGCUACGGUGAAUACGUUCCCGGGCCUUGUACACACCGCCCGUCAAGCCAUGGAAGCUGGGGGUACCUGAAGUCUGAAC
Molecule: ribosomal RNA, 1413 nt
Filed under: uncultured prokaryote
Description: partial 16S ribosomal RNA
Rfam family: Bacterial small subunit ribosomal RNA
Source: RNAcentral